Molecule: ribosomal RNA, 916 nt
Filed under: uncultured bacterium
Lineage: Bacteria
Description: bacterial SSU rRNA
Rfam family: Bacterial small subunit ribosomal RNA
Source: RNAcentral
UUGUUGGUAAGGUAAAAGCUUACCAAGGCUUCGAUCAGUAGCUGGUCUGAGAGGACGACCAGCCACACUGGGACUGAGACACGGCCCAGACUCCUACGGGAGGCAGCAGUGGGGAAUUUUGGACAAUGGGGGAAACCCUGAUCCAGCCAUGCCGCGUGAGUGAAGAAGGCCUUCGGGUUGUAAAGCUCUUUCAGCCGGAACGAAACGGUUACGGAUAAUACCCGUGACUACUGACGGUACCGGAAGAAGAAGCACCGGCUAACUACGUGCCAGCAGCCGCGGUAAUACGUAGGGUGCGAGCGUUAAUCGGAAUUACUGGGCGUAAAGCGUGCGCAGGUGGUUUUGUAAGUCAGAUGUGAAAGCCCCGGGCUCAACCUGGGAACUGCGUUUGAAACUACAAGACUAGAGUGUGGCAGAGGGGGGUGGAAUUCCGCGUGUAGCAGUGAAAUGCGUAGAGAUGUGGAGGAACACCGAUGGCGAAGGCAGCCCCCUGGGUUAACACUGACACUCAGGCACGAAAGCAUGGGGAGCAAACAGGAUUAGAUACCCUGGUAGUCCAUGCCCUAAACGAUGUCAACUAGUUGUCGGGCCUUUACGGGCUUGGUGACGUAGCUAACGCGUGAAGUUGACCGCCUGGGGAGUACGAUCGCAAGAUUAAAACUCAAAUGAAUUGACGGGGACCCGCACAAGCGGUGGAUUAUGUGGAUUAAUUCGAUGCAACGCGAAAAACCUUACCUACCCUUGACAUGUAUCGAAGCCCGCAGAAAAGCGGGGGUGCCCGAAAGGGAACGAUAACACAGGUGCUGCAUGGCUGUCGUCAGCUCGUGUCGUGAGAUGUUGGGUUAAGUCCCGCAACGAGCGCAACCCUUGUCAUUAAUUGCCAUCAUUUAGUUGGGCACUUUAAUGAGACUGCCGG